Molecule: ribosomal RNA, 957 nt
Filed under: Klebsiella pneumoniae
Lineage: Bacteria; Pseudomonadati; Pseudomonadota; Gammaproteobacteria; Enterobacterales; Enterobacteriaceae
Description: partial 23S ribosomal RNA
Rfam family: Bacterial large subunit ribosomal RNA
Source: RNAcentral
GGCUGAACCGGGAAAUGUGGCAAAAUUUUCGGAGGAUUGGUGGGAAGGGGUGAAAGAGUUAUCAAACAAAGAGAUAGCUGGUUUUCCGCGAAAAUUAUUUAAGUAAUGCGUUUAAAUAAAAAAAAAAAGACAAUUAGUUUUAAACUGUCGAUUGGUAGGCACUUAAAAAAUUUAAUAAUAUUUUUUUUUUAAAUAAACAGUUAGUCUAUCAGCGCAAAGGUUGAUAGACGAGAGGGACACAGCCCAGAUUAUUUAUUAAGGUUCAAAAGUAUUUAUUAAUACAAAAGAUAAAAAUUUAUAAAAUUAAAAAGGUCGGCGUGGAGGCUGUCAUCCUUUCAAAAAAGCGUCACAGCUUAUUUAAUAAAAAUAAAUUUUUAUUAACAAUUUUGAUAUAAAUAAAUCACCGAAAUAAUAAAUUAAUGGUAGCGGAAUGUUUUGUAUAUCAUAAAAGUAAUAUUGAAAAAUAUUAUGGAGAUAUCAAAAGUAAGUAUGUCGGUAUUAGUAAUCAUAUAAUGUUGAAUCAUUGUUGUUGAAUGUCUAAGAGUUUUAAUGAAAGAAUGAAUCUCAUUAAGUUAUACGAUCCCUAAGAAGAAAAUUAAAAUUUUAUUUGAUGGAGGUUCUGAUUUGACAUUUUUGAAAAAAAUCAAGAAAUAAAUCAGAAUUUUAUCGUAUUAAAUCUGACACUAGUAGACAGGUUGAAUAAACUAAAACAACGAGAGAAUAAUAUUGAAGGAACUCGGCAAAUUUAUUCUGUAACUUCGGGAAAAAGAAUACUUUUUUAUAAUAAAAUAUAAGAAAGUGACAUUAAAGAGAGGGCGACGACUGUUUAAUAAAAACACAGGACUUUGCUAAUUCGAAAGAAGACGUAUAAGGUCUGACUCCUGCCCGGUGCUGCAAAAUGAAAAAAUUAAUCUUUUUUACUUCUAAAUUCCAGUAAACGGCGGCUGUAACUCUGAC